Coffea arabica (coffee) is the source of this 1861-nucleotide RNA transcript. It is a transcript of the gene named probable LRR receptor-like serine/threonine-protein kinase At2g16250, with no coding region annotated. Lineage: Eukaryota; Viridiplantae; Streptophyta; Magnoliopsida; Gentianales; Rubiaceae. The record is from RefSeq and is a predicted model, not a curated record.
GCAACCAACCAAGAUAUGAACUGAACUAUAGUAUCAUAUUAUUAUUUACUAGAUCAAUCAGUCAAGAUGACCAGAGUUUACGACAACUGGGACAGGCUUGUCGGAGCUACGUUGCUUAGGGAGGAGCUCCGGCUCAUUGCUCAAAGAACUCCCAGCGAUAUUUCUUCAGCAUCACCAUCACCUUCUUCAACAUCAUCAUCAUCAUCAGCCAGGAAGUCAUUUACAUAUGAACAAAUCCUCCAAGCCACCCACAACUUGAGCAGCUCCAACUUGAUCACGGCUGGCCUCACGGGGGAUCUGUAUACAGGUGUUUUAGAGGGCAGAAUACGGGUAGUAGUCAAGAAAGUCCACUCGUCCUUCACGAAAGAGGACUUUUACCUGAAACAGGAAUUGUUAUUUUAUUCCAAAGUUACUCAUCCUAGAUUUGUCCCUCUUUUGGGGCAUUGCUUGGAGAAUGAGAUGCACAAGUUUCUUGUUUACAAAUUUAUGCCUCGUAUGGACUUGUACAGCUUUUGGUUCAAGAAAGCUGUUCAAUCUCACAAUGAUGACUGUUUAGAUUGGUUGAGCUGGGACAAGAGAUUAAAGAUAGCAAGAGGAGUUGCUGAGGGUCUGGAUUAUUUACACCAUAAAUGUGAUCCACCACUUGUUCAUAGAAAUAUUGAUGCUGGCGGCAUACUUCUUGAUGAUAAUUUUGAAGCGCGGCUAGGGAGGCUUAAUCAGGUCUGUACUGAGGUGAAAGAGACAAAUCGGAACAAGGUGGCUAGGUUCCUGCAGUUGACAAAGGAUUCUGAAAAAAGAAAUCCUGGUCUUGUACAGGAUAUAAAUCCUAGCUUUCCAUACUUGCACUAAAGGAGAUUGGCAGUUAGGAGGAAUUGUUCCUUCCCUUCUUCCGUUUCGGCAGCUCCUAACAGUUCUUCCCACCAGAGCCAAAAACUAUUCAUGUGGCUAUUCAAUCCAUACCACCAUUCUGGUGAAGCUUUGCAGAUAAUUUCAGCAUGCACUAGAAAAGCAGUUCCCGUGUCUCAGUCCAAUCACCACAUAUUAACAUACAGGAUCACCUGAUUGACAGGUACAUCUGAAGCAACAUGUGCCUUCGAUGUUUUUUGCUUUGGGAAACUUUUGCUCGAGCUAGUCACAGGCAAGCUGAAUUUCAGACCUCCCAAUUUUCCCAUAAUGAAGGAUGAUAAGAUGGCAAACACCUUGUCUUACAUCACUUCACUUGCUAAGAAGCUUAUUGGAAACAUUGUGGACCGGUCUUUAAUCAUUGAUGAGGAAAUUUUGAUGGAGGUAUGGGCUAUAGCUUUUGUUGCCAAGGCCUGUCUCGACCCCAAGCCCUCUAAGCGACCAGAACUGUCAUUCAUACUUGAGGCUUUACACAAUCCUAUGACUGUUGUAACCGGUAAGGCAAAAAUACCCAAAAGACUGAAGGCAGGUAGUGUGGCAUUGGUCUAGAUUCCAGAGUUGAAGUCCUUGUUUCAUUUUCUGGGCAUGGCUAAACAUGCAUGCUUGUUCUUCAAUGGCAAAACAAGGUUCUAUAUUUAGAGGGGCGUAUUCUUGUCCACAUGCAUGAAUGAUGUAGUGGCUUGUUUGUCCACUACAAUGAGCAAAUUUUUAUAGGGAUUGUGCAAAGCUUUGCUGUUACUUCGAUUGUAUACAUAUCUGGUACUAUAGGAAUAUUUCGAAAAUAAUCUGCACAAAGGUAACUUUGUUAGAUAAAAUCUUAUAGUGCCAGUGGAACUCAAUCUCAACUGUUAGGAUGGUGUCAGUCGGACGCAAGCGUGCAAAACAAAGCAAGGUGCACAAUCUUAAACUGUCUGUGUAAGCCUUAUUUUAAUUCCAUUUUUUCUUUGGACUGCUACUA